CACUGACAUUAGAUACCCGCGUAGUCCCAGCCGUAAACUAUGCGCGUUAGGUGUAUCGGUGACCACGAGUCACCGAGGUGCCGAAGGGAAACCGUGAAACGUGCCGCCUGGGAAGUACGGUCGCAAGGCUGAAACUUAAAGGAAUUGGCGGGGGAGCACCACAACGGGUGGAGCCCGCGGUUUAAUUGGACUCAACGCCGGGAAGCUCACCGGAUAAGACAGCGGAAUGAUUGCCGGGCUGAAGACUCUGCAUGACUAGCUG
RNAcentral lists this ribosomal RNA (262 nucleotides) under uncultured archaeon. RNAcentral describes it as "partial 16S ribosomal RNA". It matches the Rfam family "Archaeal small subunit ribosomal RNA", at positions 720 to 982 of the family's 1478-position model. The record is from RNAcentral.